UACGAAGGGGACUAGCGUUGUUCGGAAUUACUGGGCGUAAAGCGCACGUAGGCGGCUUUGUAAGUUAGAGGUGAAAGCCCGGGGCUCAACUCCGGAACUGCCUUUAAGACUGCAUCGCUAGAAUUGUGGAGAGGUAAGUGGAAUUCCGAGUGUAGAGGUGAAAUUCGUAGAUAUUCGGAAGAACACCCGUGGCGAAGGCGGCUCUCUGGGACGGUACUGACGCUGAGACGGCGAAAGCGUGGGGAGCGAACAGG
This 254-nucleotide ribosomal RNA is filed under the name uncultured bacterium. RNAcentral's name for it is "partial 16S ribosomal RNA". It matches the Rfam family "Bacterial small subunit ribosomal RNA", at positions 524 to 776 of the family's 1533-position model. The record is from RNAcentral.